RNAcentral lists this long non-coding RNA (731 nucleotides) under Eucalyptus grandis. RNAcentral describes it as "long non-coding RNA (EGRA_LNC003103)". The record is from RNAcentral. Lineage: Eukaryota; Viridiplantae; Streptophyta; Magnoliopsida; Myrtales; Myrtaceae.
UACCGGUGCCCAACAAUUUCUGGCCUACUGUUCCAGCCUUCAGUUCUUCAUCCACCAACGCACAGCCGUGCUCCGCCAGCAUCACUCCAAACUUGACGACGAAGCUGCUGUCCAGACGUGUCAUGAGCCCGAUGCUCAGCAAUUCCAGGCGAGUUCUUAGUCCAGUGAGCAAUCCUCAGCAAAGUUCAAUCACCAACGCAGUGAGAUCAAAAUUUCGUGGCUGUCUGUUGCUGCUUCGAAUUUGCCAUUGAUAACUCAUCGCUAGCCGCUGUGAAAAGUUUCGAUCCAUUGCCAUCUGCAAGUCCCUGCACCGCGAGCUUUAAGCUGCUCCUCACCACACGCGCAAAGAGGUUAGUAAAAUCCAGGGAAUUCUCAGCUGAAUAAACCAAGAAUUCUUGCACAUACACGAACGGAAUCUCGGACAAGGCAAAAGCAUUUGGGGAACAUUCGCUACAGGACGUGGAGGAGGGGGGCCUCCUUCUCUUCAGUUUUCGGGGUCGGCAAAUUAUAAAUUUUAGAGCACAUGAGGAAUACACGUGAGAAAAAAUAGAGAGGGAGUUCGGCCAUUAGAGGAAUUAUUUGCGUUACAAUUCGCGUGGCUGGUCUGGGUCGACUUCAUCGGAAGAUUCACGAUUGGCGCGUAAUCACUUCUUAAGAGACGAUCCAGAGAGGAAAAGAGAGCAACCAAAAGCAUAGAAAAAAAGAGAAGCCUUUGAAGCGGUGCUCUUUGU